RNAcentral lists this ribosomal RNA (503 nucleotides) under uncultured bacterium. RNAcentral's name for it is "bacterial SSU rRNA". It matches the Rfam family "Bacterial small subunit ribosomal RNA", at positions 1 to 507 of the family's 1533-position model. The record is from RNAcentral.
AGUCACGAGUUUGAUCCUGGCUCAGAUUGAACGCUGGCGGAAUGCUUUACACAUGCAAGUCGAACGGUAGGAGGGGGCAACCCUUGAGAGUGGCGAACGGGUGAGUAAUAUAUCGGAACGUGCCCAGUCGUGGGGAUAACGUAGCGAAAGUUACGCUAAUACCGCAUACGAUCUAAGGGUGAAAGCGGGGGAUCGCAAGACCUCGCGCGAUUGGAGCGGCCGAUAUCAGAUUAGGUAGUUGGUGAGGUAAAGGCUCACCAAGCCAACGAUCUGUAGCUGGUCUGAGAGGACGACCAGCCACACUGGAACUGAGACACGGUCCAGACUCCUACGGGAGGCAGCAGUGGGGAAUUUUGGACAAUGGACGCAAGUCUGAUCCAGCCAUUCCGCGUGCAGGAUGAAGGCCCUCGGGUUGUAAACUGCUUUGUACGGAACGAAAAGGUUUGUCUUAAUACGAUGAGCUCAUGACGGUACCGUAAGAAUAAGCACCGGCUAACUACGUG